AUGGCUGCAGUCGCAGAGCUCUCCUUCCUGCUGUUUGCUCUCAUCAACAACAUUCAUGCAAUGGAACGUAUCGUCGUCAAAAAGGAAUCAGACUUUUACAUUUCCAGCUUCCCCAAGGAGGCCGACUCCUGCCUGGUCUCCAGAUUUGUUGGUGAGGAGAAGCUCGUCCUGUGGAAUACCUCUGCCCUCUGGUCCCAGAACUCAGUACCUGAAGACUUGAAACGACGACUGAUGUUUGUCAGGAUAAACAAUACUUCUUCUUACAUGAUCCGGAACCUGACCCACUCUGACUCCGGCAAGUACCAAGAGAAGUGUUGGGGCAACGUGGCGUAUGAGAACAACAUCACUAUUAUUGUCUGUAGUACAAAAAAUAAAUACAAUUAUUUUGAUGUCAGAGUUGGAGAAACAGUGGACCUGCCAUGUGAGGGAGCAGCUGACAAUCUGGACAUCCAGUGGCUCAAGAGUGAUUCUGAAUAUGAGGACGAGAUUUGGACAAGAGUUUUUGGAGACAGUGUAACAUCGGUGAUGGACAAUGUUGAAGGAAGAUCCCAAGUGGUGAAAACCUCAUCAGGACUUCGUAUUUACAACCUCAAGUUAACACGGUUCAAAUAUUACACCUGUCUAGUGAUGAACCAACAGCAGUGUGUCAGCAGUCACCCUGUAGAGUUAGACCUGCCAUUGGAGAGGAUCCUCUACACAGUGGGAGAGACAGCUGUGUUACAGUGCCCUGCUGUUGAGUUCACUGACGACCAGCUUCCACUUUGGAAAAAGGAUCAUGAGAACGACUACGACGAGGUGGGAAAAAACUACUCACUGGUGUUUUCAUCACUUCAGUUAAACCACACAGGUUUAUACUCUUGUGAAAUCUACAACCAUGUUCAAAUGUAUCACCUGGUGGUGUGCCCCAAAUCUGACCCACCUGCUGUCGAGCUCUUCUCAGAAGGAGACAAUGUCACUUUCAGAUGCAGAGGUUGGGAAGAGGGUAGCUGGCACCGCUGGUUCAUCAAGUCAAACCAGACAGAAGGCAGACGCUUGAAUGUAUACAAAUUUGAUCUGAAGAGCAGACUGAACGGAUUUUACGAUGAUGGCUUGUUGAUUCUCUCUAAUGUCUCACUGGAAGACACAGGAGAGUUAUGGUGUGCCGUGAUGGACUCAGAUGACCAGUGUGUGUCAUCCUCCAGAACUGUUCUGAAGUCCAGAGAGCCCUCUGGGAUGGACUUCACCCUCUACACGGUGAGGUCCUCACUGCUCCCUGGUCUGCUGGUGAUCCUCUGUGUUGUUGUGGUCGCUGUGAACCAGAGGACCAGGAGAGGAGAGCAGCGUCCAGCUCAGACAGACAGUUAA
RNAcentral lists this long non-coding RNA (1344 nucleotides) under Sparus aurata (gilthead seabream). RNAcentral's name for it is "lncRNA (ENSSAUG00010005124.1)". Lineage: Eukaryota; Metazoa; Chordata; Actinopteri; Spariformes; Sparidae. The record is from RNAcentral.